RNAcentral lists this long non-coding RNA (1563 nucleotides) under Mus musculus (house mouse). RNAcentral describes it as "long non-coding RNA chr3:97681185-97682748". The stretch from base 274 to 345 matches the Rfam family "tRNA". Lineage: Eukaryota; Metazoa; Chordata; Mammalia; Rodentia; Muridae. The record is from RNAcentral.
AAGAGACCAGCAAUGCAGGAACAAACGGCCGUGCACUUCCCUGAUUCCAAAGCGUUAGAUCCACUUUCUCAUUCUUUGAGACCCGCUUACCCCACUAGUAAGUGGACCACACGCCGAGAGCUGAACAGAACGAACCUGAGUGCGUCCGAUUCUUCCGGUUAAUUAGGUUGCUCUUCCUGACUGUAGAAAUGCUUGAGGAAGAAAUCGUGGGGUGUGUGGAGGCGGAGAAUGGAUUUGGUCACCUAUUGUGAGUCAGAGCAUCUCUGUGUGUAGGGUUCCAUGGUGUAAUGGUGAGCACUCUGGACUCUGAAUCCAGCGAUCCGAGUUCAAAUCUCGGUGGGACCUUUCUCUUUAACCCACACAGGAUCCAUUUUCUUUCUGUUCAUAGCCCUGGCUUAGCACAGGAAGGAAGGAAAGGGGAGCAGGCCCUGGCUUCACUCCUGCUCUAAGUCAUUUGCACACCGCGUUUGCGUCCUAUCUCUCAGCUCUGAGACACCAAUCCACAUCGUAGCAGCCCGAACACACCGCAAAAUCCUGUCCUCUGCGACCAGCCUGGCCCGAGGCUCGCUGACACAUCGCGGCUCCACGACCCUCAGGUCUGCCACGUUUUCAGGUGAGCUGGGGCCGAAAGGGUUUCAACACCUGGCUACAGACACACCCGAGGCUCCAUCAUCUCCUGUUCCUGCACACGAUGAAGGGAAUUUAAUCGAGCUAGCCCUUAGCUAGCCCUUGCGUUUGAGCAAUUUCAGUGCGUUUUAGCUCAUUGAACUUCUGAGAUUCUAUUGAAACCAGCAGAGGCCGCUGCUGUCUCCUUAAUUGAGACCAAAAGAGCUGAGUUUGGAUCGCAGCGCCCCAGGUGGCUCCUCCCCGGGUCACCAGUCUGAAAUCAACCGCUGCAGCUGCCUUCUGCCAGAACUCUGCCCAGGAAAAUUCCACUGGAGAAGGCCGUGGGAAUGUUAGAGGAAGGUUUACAUAGCCUUCACGUGCAGGCGCCUGGAGAAAUUGAAAUAAUCGUUUUCCUGUGGUUGGAAUUUUGGGUAGUUACGAAGUAUUGAAAAGUAUAACUGCUGUUUUAGAGAGUUCAGGCUGGGAUCUGAAAAGAAAUGGGAGGUCCCAUCAGAGGUGGUUGAGAGAGGUGGGGGAGGGGAAAAAAAGUCCCAAUACUUCGGCCAAGAGGACGGAAGACUGGCGGAGUCCCAUUCCCCUGGUAAUCUGGAGACCGAGAGUGGCAAGGUCUUUUACCGCAAGUAAAAGCUUCAGCCCCUCAGAGCUGGGUCGGUGUUUAUCAGGAAAGUAAACUUCUCUGCUUACUUAACGUCUUCGACCAUUGGGACCUCGGCUUCCCUCUCUGGGUGGUGGCUUCAGCACCAAUCGCAAGCGUUUAAUUUCAUUCUCACCGAGUCCUCUUGCUACAGGUGAAGUCUCAUAUCAUCCAUCGAGACUCAGAGGAUAGUGACUGGCUUCUGCUCUGGUCCCAAAUUGUGGGGUAAACAUCCCGUCCCCUAUGGAAUCUGACCCGGGGGCCCAGAUCUGAAGUAAUGAUACAGGCCAACUCCUCCUGAG